RNAcentral lists this ribosomal RNA (253 nucleotides) under uncultured bacterium. Its description in RNAcentral is "partial 16S ribosomal RNA". It matches the Rfam family "Bacterial small subunit ribosomal RNA", at positions 524 to 776 of the family's 1533-position model. The record is from RNAcentral.
UACGGGGGGGGCAAGCGUUGUUCGGAAUUACUGGGCGUAAAGGGCGCGUAGGCGGUUUGCUAAGUUGGAUGUGAAAACUCUGGGCUUAACCCAGAGCCUGCAUCCAAAACUGGCGAACUGGAGUACUGGAGGGGAAAGCGGAAUUCCUGGUGUAGCGGUGAAAUGCGUAGAUAUCAGGAGGAACACCGGUGGCGAAGGCGGCCUUCUGGACAGUAACUGACGCUGAGGCGCGAAAGCUAGGGGAGCAAACAGG